AGUGGCGGACGGGUGAGUAACGCGUAAGAAUCUAACUUCAGGACGGGGACAACAGUGGGAAACGACUGCUAAUACCCGAUGUGCCGCGAGGUGAAACCUAAUUGGCCUGAAGAAGAGCUUGCGUCUGAUUAGCUAGUUGGUGGGGUAAGAGCCUACCAAGGCGACGAUCAGUAGCUGGUCUGAGAGGAUGAGCAGCCACACUGGGACUGAGACACGGCCCAGACUCCUACGGGAGGCAGCAGUGGGGAAUUUUCCGCAAUGGGCGAAAGCCUGACGGAGCAACGCCGCGUGAGGGAGGAAGGUCUUUGGAUUGUAAACCUCUUUUCUCAAGGAAGAAGUUCUGACGGUACUUGAGGAAUCAGCCUCGGCUAACUCCGUGCCAGCAGCCGCGGUAAUACGGGGGAGGCAAGCGUUAUCCGGAAUUAUUGGGCGUAAAGCGUCCGCAGGUGGUCAGCCAAGUCUGCCGUCAAAUCAGGUUGCUUAACGACCUAAAGGCGGUGGAAACUGGCAGACUAGAGAGCAGUAGGGGUAGCAGGAAUUCCCAGUGUAGCGGUGAAAUGCGUAGAGAUUGGGAAGAACAUCGGUGGCGAAAGCGUGCUACUGGGCUGUAUCUGACACUCAGGGACGAAAGCUAGGGGAGCGAAAGGGAUUAGAUACCCCUGUAGUCCUAGCCGUAAACGAUGGAUACUAGGCGUGGCUU
This 700-nucleotide ribosomal RNA is filed under the name uncultured bacterium. Its description in RNAcentral is "bacterial SSU rRNA". It matches the Rfam family "Bacterial small subunit ribosomal RNA", at positions 94 to 828 of the family's 1533-position model. The record is from RNAcentral.